AAAAAAUAUACAUAUAACAUUGGAUAGGAAAUUCAGAGGAAAUUCAAAAUGUAUAAUUUGUCUGUUCACUGCUUAGUUCUCUGCAUUUUCAUUUUUUUCUCUUUUACCACUGAAAUUGUCAAAUUACAAUAAUAUUAUAAUUACAAAACUCUCAAGCCUCUAUGGUAAGUUUUUGGCUAGAUAUUAAAAAUGCAAGCUUAGCCAUUUGUCAUGCAUAACAAUUAAUGUACUUAGUAUAACAGGAAAAUAUCUCCUUCUGCAGUACAUGAGAGAGUUCUUCAACCAGGGUAUUUUGUCCUUCACCAGUUACUAACAGUAGCUGUCUGUACGUGUGUUUGACUUUAACAGUCAAGAAGGAAUUUUUUUUUUACUGAAGUUCCCCACAGUGUUUUGAAUUUCUUUCAGGACAAAAUGCUUUCUGGUUUGUGAAGUUAAACAACAGUACUUACACGGUAUACAGUAGAGGCAAGGGUUAGCAGGAAAAGAAAGGGAAGAAUUAUACUUUUAGGUAAGACUUUGGGUUAACUUGGAAUGAAAGAUCUUUGUUCCUUUCUUUACCCCGCAGAGAUUAAUUUAUCUAGCAAGUCUCUAAAUGGAAAUUCCCUGCAAGCUCACAAGCAUUACUGUACCUUACAUUCGUCUUUUCCUUUCAUUCUUUGUCCAUCAGCAUUGUUCUUUUUUUUUUUUUUUUAAUGUGAUUGACCUUUAAACCUGUUGUUAUCAGCCUGCAAGAAAGAGAUAGAGACUCUUUUCAGCUGCCUUGUUUCCCAUGUGACCUACAGGGAGAAUAGAUUCAAAAUAGACUAGUUCCUCCCAGGGCAAUACAAGGCAGAAGAGAAAAGCACUGUCAUUUCCGAACAGCACAGUGCUAGAGUAAAUUCAGUGUGAAAAAGGAAGGAGUUGCAGCGUGUCAGAAUUCUUCCUCUGGAGCUUGGAUUAUUACAGGAAAAGCAUGUGAAGGAUUUUUAAGGAGAGGAUUUUAAAAAACACUUUGAAAUGGAGUACUUGGAGCACUAUAAGGACAACUGAUGUUUGAAUGCUAGCAAGACUGGAGGAAUUUUUCCAAAAUGAGCAUUGUUAUGAAGCCAAGAUCCCGGUCUACCAGCUCCUUAAGGACUGUCGAGACAAUGUGUUUCGAUGUGGACAAUGGUACAUCAUCAGGACGAAGUCCCUUGGAUCCCAUGACGAGCCCUGGAUCAGGGCUAAUUCUUCAGGCAAAUUUUGUCCACAGUCAACGUAGGGAGUCUUUCCUUUACCGGUCAGACAGUGACUAUGAUCUCUCUCCGAAGUCUAUGUCGAGGAACUCCUCCAUUGCCAGUGAUAUACAUGGAGAUGACUUGAUUGUGACACCAUUUGCUCAGGUGCUGGCCAGCCUGCGUACUGUACGGAAUAACUUUGCUGCAUUAACCAAUUUACAAGAUAGGGCACCCAGCAAACGGUCACCAAUGUGUAACCAACCAUCUAUUAACAAAGCAACUAUAACAGAGGAAGCCUACCAAAAGCUGGCCAGCGAGACCCUGGAGGAGCUGGACUGGUGCCUGGACCAACUGGAGACCCUGCAGACUAGGCACUCCGUCAGCGAAAUGGCCUCCAACAAGUUUAAGCGAAUGCUCAAUCGGGAGCUCACUCACCUGUCUGAAAUGAGCAGAUCAGGCAACCAGGUCUCUGAAUACAUAUCAAACACAUUUUUAGAUAAACAACAUGAAGUUGAAAUCCCUUCUCCAACACAAAAAGAGAAAGAGAAAAAGAAGAGACCAAUGUCUCAGAUCAGCGGAGUCAAAAAACUGAUGCACAGCUCCAGUUUAACCAAUUCCAGUAUUCCCAGGUUUGGAGUUAAAACAGACCAAGAAGAUAUUCUUGCUAAGGAACUAGAAGAUGUGAACAAAUGGGGCCUUCAGGUUUUCAGAGUAGCAGAGCUAUCUGGAAACAGACCUUUGACAGUCAUCAUGCACACCGUUCUUCAGGAACGAGAUCUGUUAAAAACAUUUAAAAUUCCAGUGGAUACUUUAAUAACUUACCUGAUGACCCUAGAAGACCACUACCAUGCAGAUGUAGCAUAUCACAAUAACAUACACGCUGCAGAUGUUGUUCAGUCAACCCAUGUUCUGCUGUCAACCCCAGCAUUAGAGGCUGUGUUCACUGAUUUGGAGAUUCUUGCAGCAAUUUUUGCCAGUGCAAUACAUGAUGUAGAUCAUCCUGGGGUUUCAAACCAGUUUCUUAUCAACACAAAUUCUGAACUUGCCUUGAUGUACAAUGACUCAUCAGUACUGGAGAAUCAUCACUUAGCUGUGGGUUUCAAGUUGCUACAGGAAGAAAAUUGUGACAUUUUCCAGAAUUUGACCAAAAAACAGAGGCAGUCAUUGAGGAAAAUGGUCAUUGACAUUGUCCUUGCUACAGACAUGUCUAAGCAUAUGAAUCUUUUGGCUGAUUUAAAAACUAUGGUUGAAACCAAAAAAGUGACAAGUUCUGGUGUCCUGCUUCUUGAUAACUAUUCAGAUAGGAUUCAGGUUCUUCAGAAUAUGGUGCACUGUGCAGAUCUCAGCAAUCCAACCAAGCCACUCCAUCUCUACCGCCAAUGGACAGACAGAAUAAUGGAGGAAUUCUUCCGCCAAGGAGAUCGGGAAAGAGAGAGAGGAAUGGAGAUAAGUCCCAUGUGUGAUAAGCACAAUGCAUCUGUAGAAAAAUCACAGGUGGGCUUUAUUGACUACAUUGUUCAUCCUCUGUGGGAGACAUGGGCAGAUCUUGUUCACCCGGAUGCCCAGGAUAUCUUAGAUACACUGGAGGACAAUCGAGAAUGGUACCAGAGCACAAUCCCUCAGAGUCCCUCUCCUGCACCCGAUGACCAGGAGGAGAGUAGAAAGGGCCAGACUGAAAAAUUCCAGUUUGAACUAACACUGGAGGAAGAUGGUGAGUCAGAUACCGAAAAGGACAGUGGAAGUCAAGUAGAAGAAGACACCAGCUGCAGCGACUCAAAGACCCUUUGCACCCAGGAUUCAGAAUCUACCGAAAUUCCUCUUGAUGAGCAAGUAGGGGAAGAAGUAGAAGAGGAGGAGAAUCAGGCAGAAGCUUGUGUAGUAGACCAUUCUUCUGACACAUAACAAUGAGGACAUAGCUCAUUUCUUUCUUGCCCCCUCCCUUUUUCUUCUUUCUCUCUCUCUCUCUCUAUCUCUGUUUGUGUGUGUGUGUGUUUUUGUUUGUUUGUUUUUGUUGUUGUUGUUGUUGUUGUUGUUGUUGUUGUUUUUUAAAUUAGGUAAUGGUUUCUAAAGUGUAUGUCAUGUGCUAUCACCAUGAUCACAACUCACUGUCAUCAGCCAGGAUGUUUGUUGAGCAAAACUGACCUUGGUGACUCAGUUUGGCACUCAGGAAUAUUGUGACCAGAAUCUUCACCUUCAUUGCAUCAGAAAGCAGGGGAGUGAACAUCGAUAAACUACGUUUUAAUAAGCUCUCAAUUUCGCAAAUUUGAUUAAAUAAAGCAAAUGUUUUCACAGGAGCACCACCUGAAUGCUGGUAUGCUUUGGUAGUUUUUGAUUUUAUUUUACUUCACAAGUUAAGCAUUGGAUAAUGUUCAUCAUCAGAGGAAACAGACAGAAAAUAAACUGAGGUUCUUGCUGGAAAACAAAUGCACACAAACGAUGGGAUACAACAUGAAUCUGUGUAAGACGAAUGUGUCACCAACAGGAAGAUGAGCUGUGGAAAUCACAUGAUUUUCUAAUUUGAAGUCUUCCUGAUAAGUGACUGAAAAGAGUGUGACACGGUCAAAGUUUUCUCUACUUUAGCCCUCACAGGGCUUUAGCACAGAUGAUGCUGAAGGAGGAAAGAGAAUGAAGAGAACUCAUGUUUUUUCAUGUUUUGACUUUUUUGUUCUUCAUCAUUUUUUCCUGAUCCACCUAAAAGUCUUCUCGAUCCCCAAGAGUGCCUGGAGCUUUAAUAACGGAAAAGCAAUAUAAAUUCCAAAAUAACCAGUAAAACCUGAAAAGGUUUUGUAUCUGCACAAAUUGAAAAUAAAUGAAGAGAAUAACACCAUAUUGAGAUAUAUACCCAUACAUAUGGACAAUCACAUAAUGGAAAAUGAUAUCAUUUCUUAGAGAUGGGGAUAUAACGCACUGUACAAUCUUUUUUUUUUCCUCUUUUGCCAAAGUGUGUUUUAGCAUUGCGCACUGCUUUAAAACAAUACAAUUUACAAGUGGCUUUAUGUAUUCUAAAUAUUUUUGCCAUAAGAAAAUGCAGUGAGUUGGGUAUUGAGUGCAGCAGCGGGGGGUGGGGGGUAAGAAAAUUCAUAUUGCUUAUAACAGUACGCUUUAGCUUGCAAGUUACUGUACUCAAUAAUGCUGUGUUUGAAUUUUUAAUUGUUUUGUGUCAUUGUUAAAAAUUAUGAUGAAAGGAUAUAGAUAGAACAAACAGCAUUCAGAAGUUUAAAAAAACUUGAAUGAAAUGGAUUUUACAGAAAGCUUUGACAAUUCUCUUAAAAUGCAUUAUUUAUUUUAUUUGUGCCAUAGAUUUUUCUCACCAAAUGACCUUACCUGUAAUACAGUCUUAUUUGUCUCUGUUUACAACUGUGUAUUUAUUGUAAUGUACAUACUGUAAUGUUAAUUGUAAAUUAUCUGUUCUUAUGAUAACAUCAUCCUUGUCUGGGUGGUGUUGCUCUAUUUGGAAACUCUUGGUGAGAGAAUGAUUAUUGUGGAUACAUAUUUCUUGUACAUUUUUUUCUCCUGUAAUAUAUUCUGUGUCACCUUAGAGCUUGUUUAUGGAAGAUUCAAGAAAAGUAUAAAGUACGUGAAGAUAUAUCAAUAAAAUUAAAAAAAAAAAAAAAAAAAAAAAA
Phasianus colchicus (ring-necked pheasant) is the source of this 4819-nucleotide non-coding RNA. NCBI's taxonomy places the organism in Eukaryota, Metazoa, Chordata, Aves, Galliformes, Phasianidae. The record is from RefSeq and is a predicted model, not a curated record.